GACUGUCCCUUCUCACAGCCACCACCAACUGACUUCCCCACAGCCUCCAGAUGAGCAAAAAGGUAAAACUCCGGCAUUUUCCACAUCCUCAGCAUCCUCCACCUCCUCAGCUGUUCGCACCCGUGCUGGGAUGCAGGUAGGAUGCCCCCAGUUGACAAGGGAGGAAACUGAGGCCCAGCAAUGGGGAGGGACUCCCCCAGGGUCACACAGCAAGGCCAUGGCUGAGCCUGGACACAGGCCCAGGGCUCAGCACAGCUGGGUCAGUGCUCAGGGGUUUGCUUCCCAGCCCUGCCGGCCCUAUUUGGUUAUUGCCUUGGUCUCCUGAGAAACGUGUCGGCAAAUGUGGCCGCUCUGCUGCAUGCGGUGGGGGUGGAAAUUGAAUCAGUGGCCAGAGGGAGGACCCCCAACUGCCUUCUUUCUCAGCACCACUGGUUUUGCCUCCUGGGCACCAGACGUUUGGAGGAGAUAGUGGGGGCUGGGAGGGAAACUGAGGCCCAGAGUCCAGGGUCUGGGAUUGGGCCCUGCUCAAUAGCCCGUGUGACCUCAAGCAAGUCUCUGGGCCUCAGCGUUGCCAUCUGGGAAAUGCAGUCAUAAUCGCCUCAGCAUUGCCAUCUGGGAAAUGCAGUCACAAUCACUGCCCUUUACGCCACAUGUCCCCCACCCUGGUGGGGUCAGAUCAAAGGAAUCAGGAGACAGAAAAAGUUUGCUGGGACUGGGAAGGACAGACACAGGAAAACAGAGCAGUGGGCAAGUGUGGCCCCUCACCGUGGAGCCUGAUUCUAGUACCUCUGUGCUCUUUCCCCACCCAAGUAUUGGGUCCCAGCCUCACUGCUGUUGGGAAUGUGAGACAGCAUCCCAUGACACCCCCAUCCCCCUGCCGCCCCAGUAACUCCCCACCUGGGAUCCCAUGAUGCCCCCAUCCCCCUGCCGCCCCAGUAACUCCCCACCUGGGAUCCCAUGAUGCCCCCAUCCCCCUGCUGCCCCAGUAACUCCCCACCUGGGAUCCCAUGACGCCCCCAUCCCUCUGCUGCCCCAGUAACUCCCCACCUGAGAUCCCAUGUGAGCCCAGGCCUGCGGGCAGGGGAUGGAGUGUGCGAAUGCCUCCCCUGCCCGGCCGCAAGGUCAGAGACAGCCAGAGACACAGUGGACUGCAGAGAUCGAGAGACGCGGUGGGGAGACAAAGAGACGGAUAAAGAGAAGCACAGAGAUGGAGAACGAAGUCAGUCAGAGAGACAGAGAUGCUGGGCCAGAGUGACAGCCAGAAAGCCACGGGAUGCCCAGAAGCAGAGACGUCUGCAGAGAGACAGUGAUGGACAAAGAGAAACAGAAACAAGGCGGGAAACAGGAGGAUCGCUUGAGCCCAGGAGAUCGAGACCAGCCUGGGCAACAAACGAAUAGCGUGAGUCAAGAGAAUCCCCUCACUCAGACACCCAGGUUCGGGUCCCAACUUUGUCGCCGUGUGACCUUGGGCAAAUGACCUCACCUCUGAGCCUCAACGUCUUCUUCUGCAAAAUGGGUUAGUGAUCCUGACUAUGGGGCUGUUGAUUCAGGAUUCGGCGGGAACGCCCAGCACUUCCUGAGUACACAAGAGUGCUGAGAAAAUGG
Molecule: long non-coding RNA, 1605 nt
Organism: Homo sapiens (human)
Lineage: Eukaryota; Metazoa; Chordata; Mammalia; Primates; Hominidae
Exons: 2
Source: RefSeq, a predicted model, not a curated record